GCCAGGGUGGCUGAGUUCGGCUUAAAGCGCUGGACUUAAGAUCCAGUUGAUAUCCUCGCAGGUAUCACGCGGGUUCAAAUCAACACGGGAAAAUCCCGUCCCUGGCG
This 107-nucleotide transfer RNA is filed under the name Candidatus Woesearchaeota archaeon. RNAcentral describes it as "tRNA-Leu". It matches the Rfam family "tRNA". From Rfam's summary of the family: Transfer RNA (tRNA) molecules are approximately 80 nucleotides in length. Their secondary structure includes four short double-helical elements and three loops (D, anti-codon, and T loops). Lineage: Archaea; Nanobdellati; Candidatus Woesearchaeota. The record is from RNAcentral.